Molecule: ribosomal RNA, 389 nt
Filed under: uncultured bacterium
Lineage: Bacteria
Description: bacterial SSU rRNA
Rfam family: Bacterial small subunit ribosomal RNA
Source: RNAcentral
GACGAACGCUGGCGGCGUGCUUAACACAUGCAAGUCGAGCGGUAAGGCCCGUUUCGGGGGUACACGAGCGGCGAACGGGUGAGUAACACGUGGGUGACCUGCCCUCAGCUCUGGGAUAAGCCUGGGAAACCGGGUCUAAUACCGGAUAUGACUCCAUGACGCAUGUUGUGGGGUGGAAAGCCUUGUGCGGCUGAGGAUGGGCCCGCGGCCUAUCAGCUUGUUGGUGGGGUGAUGGCCUACCAAGGCGACGACGGGUAGCCGGCCUGAGAGGGCGACCGGCCACACUGGGACUGAGACACGGCCCAGACUCCUACGGGAGGCAGCAGUGGGGAAUCUUGCGCAAUGGGCGAAAGCCUGACGCAGCGACGCCGCGUGAGGGAUGACGGCCU